This 253-nucleotide ribosomal RNA is filed under the name uncultured bacterium. RNAcentral describes it as "partial 16S ribosomal RNA". It matches the Rfam family "Bacterial small subunit ribosomal RNA", at positions 524 to 776 of the family's 1533-position model. The record is from RNAcentral.
UACGUAGGGUGCUAGCGUUGUUCGGAAUCAUUGGGCGUAAAGCGCGUGUAGGCGGUUAGUUAAGUCAGAUGUGAAAUCCCUGGGCUCAACCGAGGAAGUGCAUUUGAAACUAAUUAGCUAGAAGAUGGUAGAGGAAGGUGGAAUUCCAAGUGUAGAGGUGAAAUUCGUAGAUAUUUGGAGGAAUACCGGGUGGCGAAGGCGGCCUUCUGGGCAGUAGCUGACACUGAGGCGCGCACGUGGGGGAGCAAACAGG